RNAcentral lists this ribosomal RNA (497 nucleotides) under uncultured bacterium. RNAcentral describes it as "partial 16S ribosomal RNA". It matches the Rfam family "Bacterial small subunit ribosomal RNA", at positions 28 to 507 of the family's 1533-position model. The record is from RNAcentral.
GAUGAACGCUGGCGGCGUGCCUAAUACAUGCAAGUCGAGCGAACAGACGAGGAGCUUGCUCCUCUGACGUUAGCGGCGGACGGGUGAGUAGCACGUGGAUAACCUACUUAUAAGACUGGGAUAACUUCGGGAAACCGGAGCUAAUACCGGAUAAUAUAUUGAACCGCAUGGUUCAAUAGUGAAAGACGGUUUUGCUGUCACUUAUAGAUGGAUCCGCGCCGCAUUAGCUAGUUGGUAAGGUAACGGCUUACCAAGGCAACGAUGCGUAGCCGACCUGAGAGGGUGAUCGGCCACACUGGAACUGAGACACGGUCCAGACUCCUACGGGAGGCAGCAGUAGGGAAUCUUCCGCAAUGGGCGAAAGCUUGACGGAGCAACGCCGCGUGAGUGAUGAAGGUCUUCGGAUCGUAAAACUCUGUUAUUAGGGAAGAACAAAUGUGUAAGUAACUAUGCACGUCUUGACGGUACCUAAUCAGAAAGCCACGGCUAACUACGUG